CCCUUAGAUGUCCUGGGCCGCACGCGCGCUACACUGACUGGUGCAACAAGUGUCUACACGUUGGCCCCGAAAGGCCCGCGCAAUCUUGGAACGCCAGUCGUGAUGGGGAUAGGUUCUUGCAAUUUUUAAUCUUCAACGAGGAAUUCCUAGUAAACGCAAGUCAUCAGCUUGCAUUGAUUACGUCCCUGCCCUUUGUACACACCGCCCGUCGCACCUACCGAUUGGAUGGUCCGGUGAAGCCCUCGGAUUGGCCCUGAUCUUCGGUGACGGUGCCAAGAAGUAGGCUAAACCUUACCAUCUAGAGGAAGGUGAAGUCGUAACA
This 322-nucleotide ribosomal RNA is filed under the name uncultured eukaryote. Its description in RNAcentral is "partial 18S ribosomal RNA". It matches the Rfam family "Eukaryotic small subunit ribosomal RNA", at positions 1470 to 1796 of the family's 1831-position model. The record is from RNAcentral.